GUGCCAGCCGCUGCGGUAAUACGGAGGGUGCAAGCGUUAAUCGGAAUUACUGGGCGUAAAGCGCACGCAGGCGGUCUGUCAAGUCGAAUGUGAAAUCCCCGGGCUCAACCCGGGAACUGCAUUCGAAACUGGCAGGCUGGAGUCUCGUAGAGGGGUAGAAUUCCAGGUGUAGCGGUGAAAUGCGUAGAGAUCUGGAGGAAUACCGGUGGCGAAGGCGGCCCCCUGGACGAAGACUGACGCUCAGGUGCGAAAGCGUGGGGAGCAAACAGGAUUAGAUACCCUGGUAGUCCACGCCGUAAACGAUGUCUAUUUGGAGGUUGUGCCCUUGAGGCGUGGCUUCCGGAGCUAACGCGUUAAGUCGACCGCCUGGGGAGUACGGCCGCAAGGUUAAAACUCAAAUGAAUUGACGGGGCCCGCACAAGCGGUGGAGCAUGUGGUUUAAUUCGAUGCAACGCGAAGAACCUUACCUGGUCUUGACAUCCACAGAACUUAGCAGAGAUGCUUUGGUGCCUUCGGGAACUGUAGAGACAGGUGC
Molecule: ribosomal RNA, 535 nt
Filed under: uncultured Enterobacteriaceae bacterium
Lineage: Bacteria; Pseudomonadati; Pseudomonadota; Gammaproteobacteria; Enterobacterales; Enterobacteriaceae
Description: bacterial SSU rRNA
Rfam family: Bacterial small subunit ribosomal RNA
Source: RNAcentral